RNAcentral lists this unclassified non-coding RNA (251 nucleotides) under Hevea brasiliensis (rubber tree). Lineage: Eukaryota; Viridiplantae; Streptophyta; Magnoliopsida; Malpighiales; Euphorbiaceae. The record is from RNAcentral.
GGUAAUUAUCAGCAGGCGCUAUAGAUAAACCAAUCUUGGAGGGAUCCGAAUCCGUCUGCAUAAAACAAACAGCAAGGAAAAACAGAGCAAAACACAAUAAGGAAACCGAUCAAACAGUCCCAUAAAACCCCUCUACCUAAGAAUGGCUAUUGGACAGUUAAGGGUGGAGAUCACUCCUCUGUCUUCACCUCACAGGGGGUGGUCAGAGUGGACACUUCGCUAUCAAGUAGCAGGAGGUAGGGCUGUGCACU